GGCCUCUUGGUCUAGAGGUAUGAUUCUCGCUUUGGGUUCCGCUCAAUCGGAAUAUGCGAGAGGCCCCGGGUUCGAAUCCCGGAGAGGCCC
Xylaria nigripes is the source of this 90-nucleotide non-coding RNA. Lineage: Eukaryota; Fungi; Ascomycota; Sordariomycetes; Xylariales; Xylariaceae. The record is from the annotation of a GenBank genome assembly.